AACAUCGCGCACCUGCGGGAACCUGCGGAAGGAUCAUUAAUGAUUGGUGGCUGUUGCUGACUAGUGUUUCUAGUAUGUGCACGCCACACCUUCAAUCCCACUUACACCUGUGCACCUUCAGUAAUAGAUCUAUGUGGAUACGGAGAUGUGAAAGUUUGCGCUCUCCUACUCUGUUGAAGCAGUCUACUACGUUUUUUUACACACACACACACAAUAGUCAUUGAAUGUAUUUUUUAUUCU
Molecule: unclassified non-coding RNA, 240 nt
Filed under: soil metagenome
Description: partial contains 5.8S ribosomal RNA, internal transcribed spacer 2, and large subunit ribosomal RNA
Source: RNAcentral